GGGGGAUAGGGGGGUAUGAAGGGAAAGGUGGUCCCGUCAUCCGUGACCACGGCGUAGUAUGUAUCGGACCAGGCAUCAGUCCCCGUCUGUGGGGGGUCCUGGGGCUCCUUGAGGCUGCGAAUGGCCGUUCCUAUCUGUGUGUCGGUCCGCUAUGUAGAGUAGCCACGGGCGCCACCUCUCCACAUGCUUGUCCUCUAGUCCUCGAAGUGUAGC
Non-coding RNA from Pelobates cultripes (western spadefoot toad), 213 nucleotides. NCBI's taxonomy places the organism in Eukaryota, Metazoa, Chordata, Amphibia, Anura, Pelobatidae. The record is from the annotation of a GenBank genome assembly.